UGGAUUGAAAGGGGCACAGAGCACAGGCUCU
This 31-nucleotide non-coding RNA is filed under the name Homo sapiens (human). The record is from RNAcentral. Lineage: Eukaryota; Metazoa; Chordata; Mammalia; Primates; Hominidae.